Trematomus bernacchii (emerald rockcod) is the source of this 1144-nucleotide long non-coding RNA. RefSeq lists it as uncharacterized. NCBI's taxonomy places the organism in Eukaryota, Metazoa, Chordata, Actinopteri, Perciformes, Nototheniidae. The record is from RefSeq and is a predicted model, not a curated record. The transcript is spliced from 4 exons.
UCACUUAGCAGUAUAAAAUGACACGCGUGCCAUUGGAUUUUUGCAUUACCAGAGAAGAGCAGAGCUGUUAACUCAGGACAAAUGAACUUAUAACAAAAUAUUGCAUAUAGAGUAGUUUAAAGACUGUGGGAAUCAAGAACAGCCUUUCACCAUGGUUAUUCCAUAAAGCUGUUUGAAGAAUCUUGAGAGUGUGGGAUGGCUGAGAGUGUUUCUGCAAUGGAUAACCCUGAUGAGGAGGAACAUCAUGAAGAAAGAGAUUCCUUCCCUGACCCGUGCUGUGAGGAAGGAAAGAACAAUCCAGCAGCACCAGAGUCCGAACAUUUCACAGCUGCCUGGGCCUAGUGGCCCACAGGCGACGUUUAUCCAGCAACCAGAACCUUCAUCUGUGCCGGCCCCCAGGUCAAGAUCUACCGUGGCUCAACACCACAGCCAUCACCACCACCAAGGACCAGAGGACCAGCAUCACUACAGCAGCCUCCACCUCCAUCUGUGCCUGCCAUAAGAUUAAGAUACACCUCGGUACAAAGGCCUCCACCACAGCCAUCACGAUCAACCCAGCCAGCAAAGAAGUCUCGCCAGCACACGUACCUCCCACACAGCCACCAGCAUCAACCCGGGACAAUCCCACCUACCUCCCUCCGACACAGCCACCAGCAGCCCAUGCACCAUCACCCCCACCUACACAGCAGCCAGCCCCACUGCCUUGGAAGACGGACAAAGACCAUGACACUGCUCCCCCUGUCUUUACAUGUAUAAUGAAUAGUUGGUUGAGAAAGUUCUGAUAUUGUAAAUAUUGAAAUUUUACAGUUUCUUAUGUUAACAUAAAUAGUUGGUUGAAAAAAAAAGUUGUAAUGCUCAAUUUGUAUUUGUACACAUCACAUGAACCUCAGUAUGGAAUAUGAAGUCAUGAAUCAGUCCUGAUGUAACUUUUCUGUGGUGAAAGUAGAGUGAUAGAACAAUUUUACUUACUCCAAAUUCUAAUUUACACAUUUUCAUUUUAGACAUGAAUAACACAUUUAUGUAGGCCUAUAGUGUAAUUCAUAUAUUUCACUACUUUUGUGAACCAAAGACUUUGGUGAACCAAAUCUGAAACACCAAAAUAAAAGGAGGACAUGAGUAAAUCUGUGUUUCACAACAGUUUUGA